GGGAAACUACCCUAACAGAGGUGGCACGUGUUGACGCAUCUCCCCCUUCCAAAAGCAUUUCUAGUCAGACAGAGAGGAGUGAAGAGCAACAAUUCUGCAGUGUAAUUAUCUACUUGGAAAGUGAGUGGUGUGCGUGUGUGUGCGGUCAAGAGUUAUAAUUGCCGAACCAUAGGUAUUCAUGCUCAUGCUAAACAGCGUCAUCAUCCAUACACACACAUACAUACAUACAUACACAUAAAAAAAAAAAACAUACCCAUAGACACAAGCCACAAUGGGUGAUGAAGAGCAAUCAGAAUGCAUCUCAGCAUUUCACUAUGCUCGCAUUUUCAAAUUGUAGAGAAAAAAAAUAUGUCUUCUUUACAUUGGCAAAGAGCAAGGGAAAGGGAAUGAAUGUCGCACAUUUUCCGUUCAAAAGCAAACAUCCCUUUGUAUAAGCUUGCUCGCUGGACAGGGUGGGUUUUCUCUUUUUUUUUUCGCUUGAUUGCUUGAUUGACGAAUUUUUCCACCAUUCACUGCUUUUACCCUCAAGCGGCAAAAAGUCGAUACGCAAGCAAACUCUCAACUCUUUUUUCUUUCCCGGUACAAGGGAUUGGAUUGCAUAACACCCUGCCCUUCCUCUUCAACCUACCUCUUAAAUCUUAAUGGCGGACCGUACGGAAUCGGAACGACGGUGCGGCCUCAGGGUGGUGGACUGAAAAAAAGUAAAUUUGCGAAAUUAAACGACCUGUUUAUGGUAAGGGAAGGUGAUAUUCGGGUAAAGUGGAAGAACAAGAGCAACGUUAUUCAUGCUAGUCUCGUAUCUAUGCGAAAGAUUGAGAUAUCUUUUCCCUAAGGGAUUUUCCACCCUUCAUUCAAGGGGAAUAACGCUAACGAAGCUGGUGGGAUUCCAUUUAGCCGGGACUGGUUUCAACCUAGUUGGCACUUUACGUAACAUUUGUGGCAUCCACCCAUCAUCGUGAACUAAACGAUAAAUAAAGGUUAUCUAAAAUGAGUAAGCAACUUUUUUCCUUUGUUGAUGAGUGGGUAGAUGCGACAUGAAAGGAAGUGGACUUUUGAAAUGGGAAGGGAAGAGAAGAGAAGAGAAAUGGGAGAGAAAUAAUGGAUAUUUACACUUUUUAUCUUAUUCCUUUGGAUUUGUUGUUAUUACAAAAGAAAAAUAAAAUUUUUAUUACCCUCAUCUUUUUUUGCUCGUUUCCUUCUUAUACAAUCUAAUCUCAUUCGUUGUCUAGCACUCAACAAAUAAUUACGGUUGUCCGGCUACAACCACAGUAACCCGGUAGAGCCGGUUAUCCUAACUAACCUCGUGACAGAUCUUCGCUCGUGCGUGCCCACAAUGUCUAGCCAGAAUGACGAGAAUUCAGCAAUAAGAUAGAAGAAGGUUCACCGUUUGCCUGGCAACAAAUGUAAGGUGAGCUAAGUUUUACUAUUUUCAUAGCUCGGUUACUUAUCUAGUCCUGCUCUUAAGGGCCAAAUCGCCGAAAUUCCUAUUUAGCCGUGUCGCCAUAUCGGUUUGACAGCUCUCAGUAUACAACCCGUUUUUCCUCUAUGCUUUUUAUUAAUUUCACGGAUUGGAUUUAUUUUUUUUGUGUGAAAAUAGAAACAAUGGUCGGCGUUGAAAGGAUGUGUCGGCCUUUUCAGCAACACGAUCUACUCGCUCUUUCCUUCACCCGUCUCCGUACUGCCAUCUCUUGCAUAGUAAUGGUUUGGUGGUGGGUUUCUUGCGUUUCCCAUUCCGAGUGCUAAAAACAACUACAAUACUUCAUACGGUGUCGUAAUGAGCUCAAAAGCUCAGGGUUGCAGUUGUUUACAUCAAAUAUAGAAGAACAUGUGAUUCUAUACAAUAUUGCGUCUCUCAUUACUCUCUCCCCUCCUUUUGUUAUGUACGUACAAAAAACAAUAUUGAAACCAUUGAAUCUAUUGUUAUUGCCGAUUUCACAGCGCAUGUGGGAUUUGAAAAAGGAAAUUUUUUUUAAAGCUUAUGUACGUUUGGUUACCAUCGAUUGCUACAUCAACACAUAUUAACCGUUGGCGAUGCUUCGCAAAUGUAAAAAGUCAAUCCGCUCAUAGCUAGUGAUUCGCUGUACGUUCAUGACUCAAAAUGACAUAUCAGCUUGGGCUAAGCCACCGCUAUAACGCUUAAGCAAAAAUUGUUACUCUCUCGGCUUCCUCCGGCAUUUUCAUUCAUCUAUUUUAUGGACUUGUGAUUGGUGAAUGCAGUCGUAUCUAAUGUACGUUAAAUGUUUUUAUUUCAUCUUUUUACCCGUAUCGAGUGCUGACUAAUUUUACUGUGUAACCUUACGUAUCUCUAGCGGGAUACCGUACAUGACUUUAGCGGGAAAAGGUAUGCCACUUCAUUGCUGCAUGGGGGUCUACCCGACUUUCCUUAGCGAAAUUUCAAUCUCCCCCACUUUGGUACUGCAAAGGGUAGAUGGCUGGUAAGUACUGGAGCAGGAUAGCGCAGAGUAGCGCGCAUUGGCAUGGCAUGGCAUGGCAUCCUGGUGCACUUUCGACAUGAGCAAGUUGAUAUGUGGUAGUAUUAUUUGCAUGUGGGAUAGAUGGUACAGAUGUGGGGGUUAGAAAACGCUCGCUGUAAACAUUGCUAGUAAAUGGUAUGGGAUUGGGAUAUACGAGCAAAUGCUGUUACAAAUGUAUAUACAAGCUAUAUAGUGUUUGCCAUUAUUUUUCAUACCGAAAUUAAAAUGAUACUAUAUUCAAAAUGAUUCCUUUGAUAUGUACCAUUGCGAAAAUUUUAUUUUAUUUUUUAAUAUGUAUGUAUACAUAUUUUUUUUUUGUUUUGAAUAAGUAAAUGCAAUGUUUAUGAAAAUGAAAAAAUCGAUUUAUAUAUUAUAUCGGUUGAUGUGCGACUUUUAAAUUUUAAAAUGUUUUUACAUUUUUUUCUUUAUUCAGUGAUAAUUUAUUUUUUUUUUCUUUUGUGGACAUCACAGACUCCAUGGAUACAUCAAAUUGCAAUCGCAGUCGUCGGCGCGCAUUUCGGAUUAACACUAAUAAAAGUGCAUGAUUCUUUAAACUCGCAGAAAUUCGUAAAUUCGUUGUACUGUUUACAAGACAGCAUAUUUUGCACAAAUAUUCAAUUCGUGCAAAAUGGUGAAAACUAUGUCUAAGCCGACUUCAAUCGCGUUCUCAAGCUAGGUUUAUUAAAAAUGGGCAAGGAAAAAUUCUUACUUGUUCAUCUAAUUAUUCUUUCUUUUUAUCUAAUAUAUAUUUCGUCCAUCCUUAAUGCUUGAUUCUUUUUUUUUUCUUUCUAAAUCACUAAAAAUAAUCUAUUUAACUAGAUUGAACAUUACAU
Molecule: long non-coding RNA, 3307 nt
Filed under: Schizosaccharomyces pombe (fission yeast)
Lineage: Eukaryota; Fungi; Ascomycota; Schizosaccharomycetes; Schizosaccharomycetales; Schizosaccharomycetaceae
Source: RNAcentral